This 635-nucleotide small RNA is filed under the name uncultured fungus. RNAcentral describes it as "eukaryotic LSU rRNA". The stretch from base 212 to 366 matches the Rfam family "5.8S ribosomal RNA". Lineage: Eukaryota; Fungi. The record is from RNAcentral.
GGAAGGAUCAUUACAGAAUCGUCAACGGGUUGUUGCUGGUCCUCGAACGGGGACAUGUGCACGCUCUGUUUACACAUCCACUCACACCUGUGCACCCUCCGUAGUUCUGUGGUCUGGGGGACCCUGUCUUCCUGCCGUGGUUCUACGUCUUUACACACACACUGUAAUAAAGUCUUAUGGAAUGUAUGCCGCGUCUAACGCAAUACAAUACAACUUUCAGCAACGGAUCUCUUGGCUCUCGCAUCGAUGAAGAACGCAGCGAAAUGCGAUAAGUAAUGUGAAUUGCAGAAUUCAGUGAAUCAUCGAAUCUUUGAACGCACCUUGCGCCCCUUGGCUAUUCCGAGGGGCAUGCCUGUUUGAGUAUCAUGAACACCUCAACUCUCAUGGUUCGCCGUGAUGAGCUUGGACUCUGGGGGUUUUGCUGGCCUGCGGUCGGCUCCCCUCAAAUGAAUCAGCCUCCCAGUGUUUGGUGGCAUCACGGGUGUGAUAAAUAUCUACGCUCGCGGUUGUCCGCCAGGUAACCUUUGGCGACAAAGGUUCGCUGGAGCUCACAGAUGUCUCUCCUCGGCGAGGACAGCUUUUUGAACGUUCGAUCUCAAAUCAGGUAGGACUACCCGCUGAACUUAAGCAUAUCA